RNAcentral lists this ribosomal RNA (254 nucleotides) under uncultured bacterium. Its description in RNAcentral is "partial 16S ribosomal RNA". It matches the Rfam family "Bacterial small subunit ribosomal RNA", at positions 524 to 776 of the family's 1533-position model. The record is from RNAcentral.
UACGAGGGGGGCGAGCGUUGUUCGGAAUUAUUGGGCGUAAAGGGUGCGUAGGCGGUUUGGUAAGUCUUAUGUGAAAUCUACAGGCUCAACUUGUAGUCUGCAUGAGAAACUGCCGGGCUUGAGUAUGGGAGAGGUGAGUGGAAUUCCUGGUGUAGCGGUGAAAUGCGUAGAUAUCAGGAGGAAUACCAAAGGCGAAGGCAGUGUCCUGGAGGGUUAACUGACGCUGAGGCGCGAAAGCUAGGGGAGCGAACAGG